CGACGCCGCCAGCUGAUCGGAGACUGGAGCCGGUGUGUGCUGGGCGCUGGGAAGAGACAGAGCGGUCGGCCGUGCGGAGCGGUCGCAGUGAUUUUGCUCCUCUGUCCUCAGCAACCCCCGCACCCAGCAUCAGGAACCUGUGCCUCCCACACGCUCACCUGGCUGAGCCGCAGUAGUUCUUCAGUGGCAAGCUUUAUGUCCUGACCCAGCUAAAGCUGCCAGUUGAAGAACUGUUGCCCUCUGCCACUGGCUUCGAGGAGGAAGAGGAGGAGCAGCUUCUUUGCCUAUCAUCUGGAAGGCUAGUGAGACUCUGCUCAAUACUGUGCAGGCAAGAAAUUGUCUCCUGCAGCCAAGAGGGGAGAUGGGUUGUGUGAUAUGAGUCCCUUCUGCUGCUUCUAGCUCCUGAUUCAUUCUCAUGUAUGGGCUUGGUCUCUGAUUGUGGUUCACCUUUGGCCCAGUCUUCCUAACAGAAGAUGGGUUCAGGGGGUACAGGAAGCUGUUUGUUCUAUUUGGCAGGAGGAGGAGUUCUAGCCAUUUAUGAGAAACUGAAAGUCCUAGGGGAUACUAGAUUAUCUAAUCCAGCCCCACCACUGCAGUCUAAGAUGAGGGAUAGAAUGAGUAAGGGACUGUAGCAGAUGGGGUGGGGAGGCUGAGUCUGCUCACACACUGCAACAAAGAUUGCCCUGUCCCUCGACCUCGCUUUCUUUCCUCCUCACUUCACUGGCCACAGUGUGUCCCUCCAGCACGGGGUGCAUGGCUCUGCUGUCUGUCUUCAUCCAACAUGGAACCUCAGAGGUGAGGAAGGUCAGCCUGCAAACAACAGAGGCAGGCAGAAGUCCAGUGGAGGAUGGGGCCUGCAGCCACAAGGGCCUACCUGGACCUUGGUCAGAGGGCCACAUAGAAGCCUGGGGAACACCAGGAAAGAGAACAGCCAGCCCGCCUCAGUGAAAGACACACUUCCAGCUAUCUCCUCUCUAGACCUACCUCCCUGGGAGAUGAAGGGCCUCAAGGAAAUAUGGUCUCAUCUCUUCUCUACCCUGCAGUUUCUAUAUAAGCAGCCUCAAGGAGCUCGAGCCAUCUCUGAAAGGAAAUGCACAGCAAAUUCAAAAGGAGAUUCAAAUGUAUAACAUUAUGGAAAAACACUCAUGUCUGGGGCUGUAGCUCAAUUGGUAGAAGGUUUGCUUAGCAUGCACCAAGCCCUGGUUCUGUCUUCUGCAUUGCAUAAAACUGGACAUGAUGGCCCAGGCCUGCAAUCCCGGCACUCUGGAGGUGGUGGCAAAGGAGCCUACAUUCAAGGUCAUCCUCUGCUACACCCUGAGUUCUGAGCCAGCCUGGACUAAUGAGACUGUCUCAAAAAAAAAAAAAAAGCAUUGGUUAGUAAUUCAAAGAAGGCAGAUGUGGCUGAAAUCAUUUCCCCUGAUCAUAAUACAACAAGUAAAUGAAAGUCAAAAGAAGAGUCUUAUGCUUUGUGUGCGGCAGUGUCAACCACUGUAAGAGAUGCCUUUUGACCUAGUAACUUUCUGUUAGAAAUGUGUCAUAAAAUAUGGAUUUGGUUAUAAAAUGUUCAUCUCAGGGUUGUAGUACAGAAAAAGCGAAAGCAACUGUUUGGAAAUCCAUUCCUUUUCUGCUGUGUGAAAAUUUAUAGCUGGUAAUAGCUUAAGUAAAUUAUAUUCAUCUGACAGUGGAGUACUGCAUAGCCAUCCAAAGUCUUGUAGAAGAAAAAUUGAAUGGAAAUAUUAAAUAUUAACUACUGAAAAGAUGAUAAAAAGU
RNAcentral lists this long non-coding RNA (1770 nucleotides) under Rattus norvegicus (Norway rat). RNAcentral describes it as "long non-coding RNA NONRATT004558". The stretch from base 161 to 244 matches the Rfam family "mir-22 microRNA precursor family". The record is from RNAcentral. Lineage: Eukaryota; Metazoa; Chordata; Mammalia; Rodentia; Muridae.